This 72-nucleotide transfer RNA is filed under the name Dermacentor andersoni. RNAcentral's name for it is "transfer RNA proline (anticodon AGG)". It matches the Rfam family "tRNA". From Rfam's summary of the family: Transfer RNA (tRNA) molecules are approximately 80 nucleotides in length. Their secondary structure includes four short double-helical elements and three loops (D, anti-codon, and T loops). Lineage: Eukaryota; Metazoa; Arthropoda; Arachnida; Ixodida; Ixodidae. The record is from RNAcentral.
GGCUCGUUGGUCUAGGGGUAUGAUUCUCGCUUAGGGUGCGAGAGGUUCCUGGUUCAAAUCCCGGACGAGCCC